UUCUAUGUCGACAUUGUCAGC
This 21-nucleotide non-coding RNA is filed under the name Caenorhabditis elegans. The record is from RNAcentral. Lineage: Eukaryota; Metazoa; Nematoda; Chromadorea; Rhabditida; Rhabditidae.